GAUGAACGCUGGCGGCGUGCCUAAUACAUGCAAGUCGAGCGAACGGACGAGAAGCUCGCUUCUCUGAUGUUAGCGGCGGACGGGUGAGUAACACGUGGAUAACCUACCUAUAAGACUGGGAUAACUUCGGGAAACCGGAGCUAAUACCGGAUAAUAUUUUGAACCGCAUGGUUCAAAAGUGAAGGACGGUCUUGCUGUCACUUAUAGAUGGAUCCGCGCUGCAUUAGCUAGUUGGUAAGGUAACGGCUUACCAAGGCAACGAUGCAUAGCCGACCUGAGAGGGUGAUCGGCCACACUGGAACUGAGACACGGUCCAGACUCCUACGGGAGGCAGCAGUAGGGAAUCUUCCGCAAUGGGCGAAAGCCUGACGGAGCAACGCCGCGUGAGUGAUGAAGGUCUUCGGAUCGUAAAACUCUGUUAUUAGGGAAGAACAUAUGUGUAAGUAACUGUGCACAUCUUGACGGUACCUAAUCAGAAAGCCACGGCUAACUACGUG
RNAcentral lists this ribosomal RNA (497 nucleotides) under uncultured bacterium. RNAcentral's name for it is "partial 16S ribosomal RNA". It matches the Rfam family "Bacterial small subunit ribosomal RNA", at positions 28 to 507 of the family's 1533-position model. The record is from RNAcentral.